GAGUUUGAUCUUGGCUCAGAUUGAACGCUGGCGGCAGGCCUAACACAUGCAAGUCGAGCGGAUGACGGGAGCUUGCUCCUUGAUUCAGCGGCGGACGGGUGAGUAAUGCCUAGGAAUCUGCCUGGUAGUGGGGGACAACGUUUCGAAAGGAACGCUAAUACCGCAUACGUCCUACGGGAGAAAGCAGGGGACCUUCGGGCCUUGCGCUAUCAGAUGAGCCUAGGUCGGAUUAGCUAGUUGGUGGGGUAAUGGCUCACCAAGGCGACGACCCGUAACUGGUCUGAGAGGAUGAUCAGUCACACUGGAACUGAGACACGGUCCAGACUCCUACGGGAGGCAGCAGUGGGGAAUUUUGGACAAUGGGGGCAACCUGAUCCAGCCAUGCCGCGUGAGUGAAGAAGGCCUCGG
Molecule: ribosomal RNA, 408 nt
Filed under: bacterium enrichment culture clone ALO1_GLFRUDD03GGFTZ
Lineage: Bacteria
Description: bacterial SSU rRNA
Rfam family: Bacterial small subunit ribosomal RNA
Source: RNAcentral